ACAUUCAACAACUCCACGAACAAGAUCGUAUUAAUAUCCAAUGCUUUUCGAAACUUUCCACAUCGAUAUAGCAAAAUAAUUUAUGUACCUACUCGUGAUCAGUGGUUCUCUCGACUGGACUAUUGAAGCAAACAUGAUUCCAUUUUACAUUACAUGGAUAUUACUUUUCGCCAGCACCGGUUGCAUGAGUCAAAGCGAACCCCCGAAAACCCCUUCAAAUAGCGAUGUUGAUAAUUUGACCCGAAGCGAUACAUACUUGCCAACUAAUGAAAUAAACCAUAUUUGGACUAUUCAUCAAUUCCGAUUCCACGAGAACCUUAAGGCUAUUAUGAUAUCCUCGCCCUACUUACACGCGCCCACAACUGAUAGAUACGAAUGGCGAAUUGAUAUAUACCCCAACGGCGAAGAUAAUAACAAUGUUACGAUUGGUGUGUAUGUAUGUAUAAGCAACCACAGUACAGUUAAUGAGGUAACUG
This is a long non-coding RNA of Planococcus citri (citrus mealybug), 476 nucleotides long. RefSeq lists it as uncharacterized. The record is from RefSeq and is a predicted model, not a curated record. The transcript has 2 exons. NCBI's taxonomy places the organism in Eukaryota, Metazoa, Arthropoda, Insecta, Hemiptera, Pseudococcidae.